GUCGCAAAAGGCCAAAUAAUCGAUUACUAGUAUGCCUAAUAUUGCCAGAAGGCCCUUCUUCCCCCUAUGUUUGACUCAUCCUAUAUGGGUUCACACCUGUUGAUUCCGGUCAAAGAAAAAAGCUUUUUCACGGCAUCCGUCCCAUCACACCAAUCUACGCCAAGAUAAAGAAUGCUGGGUUGCCAGGAACAAACCCUGUGAUUCAAGGUCUUGCCUAGAAUUGCCUUAACUUAAUUGAAUAAGUAGGAAGACUCUGGCAUUUCCAAAACCCUUUGACAAAGAAAGACUCUCGCUUACGGAUUCGAGAGUUCUUGCCUCCUUUUGAACAUCUUCCCUUAGCUUUUGCCAUCUUUCAAAAAAUCCCUUGACAGCCUGUGGGUUCUUUGUUUUGUCUAGUCUUCAUACCUGUCUCUAAGGCA
RNAcentral lists this long non-coding RNA (419 nucleotides) under Elaeis guineensis (African oil palm). Its description in RNAcentral is "long non-coding RNA (EGUI_LNC077556)". Lineage: Eukaryota; Viridiplantae; Streptophyta; Magnoliopsida; Arecales; Arecaceae. The record is from RNAcentral.